UCCAUAGCGAGUAUAGUACAGCUUGGAAGGUUUACCGAAUGAAAAAUAAAGAUGUUCUAACCUUUGUCGUAACUAUCAAUAUAGAUCAAGGAGCUCAGCCCAAUUGUUCAUGUAACCGUUAAUGGUAUAACUUUAAGCAUCGAGUUAUGUAUAUAUAUGUUCUAGUACUAUACCUUUUUAAAACUAUUCUGAACUGUAAUAAUGGUUGUGAUUAUCAGUUAUGAAUGAGUGUUAAUUAAUAAAUGUUACAUCUGGAUGUGUCUUAGAUCUUAGUGCACCACAUACAAACCUUGAACAUAUAUUUGUCUCAAUCAUUUUUGCUUUUUUUGAUUCGCGUUUGUUCAUAACAAUAAAUAUAAUUCGCACAAAACAAUUUUACAUGAUUCUCUCCAAUAGCCUCACAAACGUAUAUUUGCACCUUGAAAGAUAUCACUAGUUAAGAAAAAAGAUAACAUAUCCAUCAAUAUAUUAUUAUUAGCUAAUAGUGAAACAAUAGUACUCCCUCCGCUUCGAUUUAAUUAUCGUUGUAGAAAAAAAUUAUAGUUUCAAAAUAAGUAUCUUUUCAAAGUUUUAAUGUAAAAUUUAUUAAUAAGAUUUUUCAUUUUAUUUUUUUAUUGGUUGAAAUAUGAUUAGCUAGAUAUAUAUGUAAUUUUGUUUUUAUUUUGGGAAUAUACAAAAUCAUAUGUUUUUUUUAAUCUGUGUGCAUAAAAACGACAAUUAAAAGAAAAUGGAGAGAGUAAUUAAGAAAUAGUGAGUGGUUAUCUUAUUGGUGAUACUCAUAAGUCAUAGGGUAUAUAAUCGUCGAAUUUUUUAAUUAUCUCAUAGGCAUUGAUUUCGAAUUUGUCUUUACGUAACAAGGUGAAGAUUCUCUCUCUCUGAAGUAACUUUACGUUAUAUAUGUAUAUAUGAAUAACUUAAACACUAUAUCUAUAAACUGCGCGCAAACCCUAAUUUAUAAAUAUUUCAAGCUAACAUCUACUCAUCAUGAUCAUUUACAUGUGACAUGUUAAUUUAUCAGAUUCCAAUGGAAAUGGAUACAGUUUUACUGUGUAGAAUAAGUUAGUUGACAUUAAAUCGAAACCAAAACAAUGUGAGAUUGAUAUUAAGAUUGGGAAAAUAUUAUGUUUAUAAGAUUGAGCGAGGAUUUCAAAAUGGCGUAAAUAAUGAUCAUCAUGAAUUAUAAUUAGCCGCAAUUAAUGAUGAACGGACGGUGGAUGAAGAUCGACCACUAAUUCUCCAAGUGAACCCUCCUCUACUUGUCUCCCUAUUCCACAUUCUAUCUGAUAACCAUUAAGUCAAGACUUCUCAUUAGUUAAGCUUUCAUUUUUUUCAGGUUUAAUAAUCGUUAGUGUGGUAUUGAGCAUUUCAAACAUGCACAAACAAUUUUCACCUUUGGUGUCUAAAGAGAUAUCAGAAAUGAAGAGAAAGCAUCCGGGCAUGUGUUAUCUGUGAAUCUUUUGUUUGAGGCGGUUUAGUGGGACUGCUCAUAUAUCUUUAGAUUUUUAAAAUAUUAGCGGCGAUUGCGUCCCUAUAUAUGUCAUAAUAGUUUCAAAAUUGACUCAUUUAUGAAUAAUCUACGAGUUUAAAGUUUUGGAGGGGCAUGCAAACAAGUAAUAUAUCUCUCUAGAUCCUCUGACCUCUUUCUAGAAAAAGCUCAAACUUGAGAUCGUGUUCUCCGACCGGCGGUGUGGUUUCUCUUCACCACCGUCGGUCGGGAAAGUUUGUGUUUUUUUGUUUUUGAUUCUCGGGAUAUCUUUUUGUUUAAGAUCAAAAUCGUCGGGAUCUUUACAGCGAUCUUCAGUCUGUGGCUUUCGGGUUUUAUCUCCGGCAUAGUCGGCUCCGUCGGCGUUGCAUGUCCGGCCCCAGUUCUGAUGCCGCAUUUUUUCUCUUGGUGGGCGAUCGGCUUUUGACUCCGGAAACCACACCUUCUCCCUCGGUGUUGGUUUGUCGGCACUUGGUUUUGUUGGUGUUGAUGGUGGUUUAGGUCCGGGCGUUCCGGAUUCUGUUUGAUCUCCUCUUCUCUUUGCUCAGUCUGUUUCAAUCGUUGUUGAUUGGAACUAACAAAUUGAAAAGGAGAUCCUUGUGUUAGUAUAAAGAGUCCUUUGGUCUUCUGUGGUAUGUGUGGUAGAAGACGUGGGGUGAUGGUGGCACGGUGGUUCUCUUUGAACGGUGUGUGUUCCCGGUAUUUUUCCGGUGGUAUUCCGACUUGAAUCUUCGUCGGAAACGUGUAAGUCUCUCACGACGUGUGGCUGGUUCUCUACGUGGAGCAUGUUUCAACACGUGGCUUAUCCAUGUUUAUCUUACCGCAUAGGUUUCAUUUGGGCCUUGGUGUCCUUUAGCUUUUACUAAGCCGUUUGUUGGCUUUGUCUGUAUUUUACUUUUGUUUUUUUUGGACUUUGUACUGGGUUUGUGUUUAAUAUUUAUAAUAAAGAUGGCAAAAAAAAAAAAAAAAAUGUCAUAAUAGUUUCACACUAUUAUUGUCACUAAGUAUUAAAUACUACUUUAAUUAUUUAAAUCAUUCUACCUCAAGAAAUUUUAAUUUUUUUUGUUGAAAUUUUAAAACUUUUCUCAUUAUUAUUCUAUCAUUUGUUUUUGUAUCAUGUUAUCAGUGAAAUCAACGACAACAUAAAACCAAGACAGAUCUUCCAAAACCAAAUCUUCUUUUUCCAUUUUCUUUAUUCUUUUUUUAUUUCUACUACCGUACGAGAGCCUUGGAUUAAUAUAUCCCUUACAUAUAUGUAUAGUGGAAAAUGGCCACGCCAUUUCUCAUGUUUACCUUGACCACUUUUUUUUCACUUAUAAAUAGAAAAAAUAUAUUUAUAAUCCUAGAGUUAACUAAUCUAGACUUAGGAUUUUGAGUUGAGGAGCGGGUAGGGUUUUAAGAGUAUGGAGUUUAAGAUUCUAAUAAAUAUAUACAAAUUACCAAAUAUAUAUUUAUUUAUUUAUAUAAUUUUAAUGUAUGAAGAUGCACAAAAUAUUAUAACGAAAAAUAUAAGAAUUUAUAUUUGUUUUGAUAUUCAUAUUUUUAGUAUACUUGGUGGAAGAAAUUAAUAUAAUUAUGUAGAAAAUAUUUAAUAAUUAUAUAUAAUUUUUUUUGUGAAAUUUCCUUUUUAAUGUAAACACAUAUAUUUAAAUAUUUUUUUUAAGUUAGUAAAUAUUUCCUUUUUGUAAUAUAUGUAUUUUGUUAAAAUAUAAAUAAAGGAAUUUUAAAUUAUAAACUCAACUUAAAUUUUAACAAAAGAAAAGGUAAUCAGUUUUUAAAUAAUGACAAUUACAUAUACCAUUUUUAUUUCUUUCAGGGUACCUCUGUAAUUAACUGUCACAAGAAUUAACGUGAGUGCGACACAAACGAAACUGGCUUAUAUUUGGUUGAAGAAAUUAAUAUAAUUAUGUAGUAAAUAUUUAAUAAUUAUAUAUAAUUUUUUUUUGAAAUUUCCUUUUUAAUGUAAACACAUUUAUAUUUAAAUAUAUUUACGUUUUUAAAGUUAGUAAAUAUUUCCUUUUUGUCAUAUAAGUAUUUUAAAAUAUUAAUAAAAGGAAGUUUAAAUUAUAAACUUAAAUUAAUUUUAACAAAAGAAAAGAAAAUCAGUUUUUUUUUUUAAAUAAUGACAGUUACAUAAAAUAUUUUUAUUUCAUUAAAGAUAUCUCUGUAAUUAACCGUCAUUGUGACACAUAAGAAACUGACUUUUCGUAGGAACAGAGCGAGUAAUAUUGUAGAGAUGAAUUUUUAGGCAUGUAACUAUUAACAAAAAAAGGUUAUACGACUAUAAGCAUCUUUAUGUACAUCAAUCUAAAAACACUUACAGAUUUCAUUUGAGACACGAUAAAAAAAAUUUGGAAGGAGACUUUUUUUAACGUUCCUUUCAUUUCUUGCCCCAAAGGAAUACCAUUACAAAGAUGUUUUAAACAAAUGAGUUCGAAGGUGAUGACGAAAAACACAUAAUAUUGCGAUAUCAACAUUAAAGAAACUUGUGUGAAGCCGUAGAAGAGGCAGUAGAAUUCCUAAGAUAUGAAUGUGUUGAAACCAGUUGCUGAUGUAAGAUUGAUUUGAAUCAAAAGAUAUACUCCAUCCGGUUUGCUUUAUAGGCUGAUUUAGCAAUUUAUAUUUCAUUAUUUUAUUUUAUCGUAACAUUUGUUCUUUAAUUAGUACUAGAUUUUGACCCGCGCUUUCAAAGCGCGGGAUCGUUACUUUUGUAAAAUUUCAUUUAAAUUAAUAAAUAUUUAUCUAAUCUAUAUUUUAAUAGAUUUUUUAUUUGUUUAUGGUCAAUUUUUAUAACAUUGUCUUCUUUAUUUUAUUUUUAUUAUUAAAAAUAAAAAUGUUUGUUUGUGAACUAAUUAAUUAGUUAAAAUAUUUUAAAAUGGUAAACAUCUACUCAAUAAAUUUAAUCAUAUUGUAAUGAUAUAUUUGGUAAGGUUAUUUAUUUAUAAUUUUAACUUAUUAAAUAAAUAUUAUAUGAAAAAUGUAAUAGACAUUUCAUUUUUCAUUCUACAUAUUUUUAAUUCAUGCAUAAUUUUUAAAUUAUAAUAACAGAAAUAUUUAAUAAUUAUUAUGUAUUUAAAUUGGCUUAUACAUAGUUGGUUUUAAAAGAAAACACUGUUGGGCUUUGGUUUGUUUAGGAUUUAUUUUUUGUCAGAUAAAAUGGGCUAGAAUUGCCCAAAGAGAGCAACAAAUCUGUUAUGUCAAAAUCUAUGUUUUUGUGGCCGUUUGGUUAAAAAAAAAAACAGAAAAGGGAAAGUAGAAAAAAAAUAUUUCUCGAUCCAAUUUUUCUUUGAGGAAUCGACGACACGCUAGAACUGAAAUAGAGAAUCGAUGAGAGAAUCAGUGGGUAGAUCUAUCGAUCUUGAUGGAUAGGGCGUUGGUGAAGAUUGAAACUGUUGAUUGGUGAAUGUUUCUCAUGAAUCGGGUUCACAGAUAAAGAAGAUGAAAUGGGUAAUUUGCUUACAAUUGAAAAAAGAAUUGAAUGUCAACUUAAUGGGCUUAAAAACACGAAAAUGUAAGUAUGUAUUAGUUGGGCUUUUCAUUUUUGAAAAAAAGAAUUGAAUGUUUUGUAAUUAAUAAGAAAAUUCAGGGGCAUAUUCAUAAGAAGUAUUCUGCUUUAAUAGUAUAGAUGGGUCAAAAAGGAUAUAAAAUUUUAGGUUUUUUUUUCAAAUAUAACCUAAAAUUUCAAGUCAAACACAAACUAACCUAUGUUUUUUUUGAAACUUUGACUUGCUUUAUUUAUCCUUGAAAUUCGAGUUAUUCAAGAAAAUGUCAUUAUUAUUUUUUUCCAAAAAUGAGUGUUUUACUUAUUCAUCCUCAUCUUCCUCAUUUAUUUACAACAUUGUCAUUAUCAUUGUCGUCAAAACACCAACCACCAUUAACAACCAAUUUUAAGCUCUAAAUACACCUAAAAUCAACAUAUAGAUCUUCAUAUCCACAUUCUUUCACACAUAAACCAUUUCUCUUCCACUUUAUCUCUUAUUUCAUCCGAAAAUCCUAACUUUCAUUAAGAAGUUAUGUGUGCUUGUAAAAGCUAUACAUGAAUUUCGCUGGAUCUAAAAAUUGAUAUUUGAAUUUUUUUUCAGAUCUGUUUCGCGAAGAAGACUUCUAGAGAGGUCUUCUGGUCAAUUCAUAUGUUAGUUUUGCAAUUGACUUUUUGUAUGUUUUAUAAAGAAGACUUUUUUAGAAAUUUUUUAAUUUUUUCUUGUUAACAAAAAAAAAAGACUUCUCAAGAAGUCUUCUGGGAUAAACAAGUUAGUUUUGUAAUUAACCAAAGUUUGUCAGAAAUUUAUUUUUUUAUAAAAAACUUCUCGGAAAUUCUUCUUUACUGUUAGAUGAAGUCUUUCACUAUCGCAAGAAGUCUAUGUAUGUUAGUUAAACUUUAAUAUUAAUUAAAAUACUUCUUAAUAGGGUUUAGACUUCUAAAGAAGUCUUCUUGAAUUUUAUUACCGGUUUUGGGUCAAACAUUUGGUUACAAGAGAAAACUUAUAGAGAAGUCUUUUGACGGAAGACUUCUGUAGAAGUCUUUUGUGAAAAAGUCAAAUAAAGUAAGCUAUGCAGACUUCUUACGAUAAUGAGAAGACUUCAUGUGAACGUUCUAAGAAAAAGUCAAAUAUCUGCAACACUAUGGUCAAUUGCAAAACUAACAUGUUUACUAGAGAAGACUUCUGGUAUUUUCGAGGAUUUUUUAAAUUCAAAAGUAAGCAAAAAUUUACAAAAGAAAACUUCUCAAUAUGUUUGCUGUAGAGUAUACUUUUCUAGUAGUCUUCUUUUGUAAAUUUGCAAUUUCAAAAAUGACAUAAAUGUAAGACUUCUCUAGAACCCUUCUCUGCGUUAAUGUUUAAUAAACUUUCAUUUUCUCUACAAAUAAAAAUGAAUUUUAAUAUAUUUUUUGUUAGUUCAUGUAUAUUAAUUAAUAUUGGGGAUCCUGGAUGAAAUUCAUAACUUAUUUUGUUAUAAUUAUGAUAUUUCAAAUAUUCAUGUUUACUAAUGUUUCUAGCUAAUUUAAGAAAACUUAUGUACGAUAGAUUUUCAAGAUUGCUAAGUAACUUUUUUUUUUGUCAGCAGAUUGCUAAAUAACUUAAAGACAUGUUUUUAAACUUUCAAUAGUAUUACGUAACUUUAAGAAUAUCAAGUCAUGUGGUUAAUGUGUCUUUUAGAUCAUAAAAUGUAAUUUUGAACCUCCAUGAGAUUCAAAAUUUCAACUUUCACUUAAAAUUCAAUUUUGAUCUUUUUUGAAUUUGACUACGUUUUUUUGAGAAGUCUUCUCUCUUAGUUUUAAUAAAUUUGAUUAAUUUUCUGUGUUCUUGUGUUUUUUUAUGAAUGGGUAGAAUGAUUAAAAAAAUUUCUUGGUAUGUUGUAUCAAUAACUUCAAUAAUGUCAAGGACUUUUGGCAAAAUAUAAAUACAUUUACCAAAUUCUUUUGAUUAACAUUUCUUCAAAUUUACAAAAGAAUUCACAACUAAAAUAUUACACAUACAAAUCAUAAACCAAACCAUAAACAAAAUUAUUAAACAUUGAGCUAGAUAUCAUUCCUCAACAUAGAUAAGCUUGGACUCCACUUGACACCAUCCCUUUGUACCACUUUGGGCAGAAGACUUCUAAAGACUUCGUGGGAGUAUUCUAGCAUAAAAUACAUUAGAAUACUUCCCAAAAAAAUCCUCCAAGAGUCUUCCAAGAGUCUUCUGAGAAGUCUGACUCAAAUAUGAAAAGUCUGCAUAUUCAAAAUCAUUCAAAUGGCUUCAAAAUAGAAAAAAAAACCUCUAAAAAAUUAUUAGGCUUAAAUAAUAAAUAAAACAGUCACAUUAGGUUGAAUCUGUAACUUUUUAAAAUCUAAUAUAUAAAACACACAAAAUACAUAUCCAAAAUUUGUACCACUUUGCACAAAGGACUUCUGAAGACUUCCCGAAGUCUUCUAGCAUAAAACACAUAAGAAGAGUCCCCAAGAAGUCUUCCGAGAAGUCUUCCGAGAGUAUUCUGAGAGUCUUCUGUGAAGUCUUCCAAAAUCUGACUCUGAUCUGAAAAAUCAGAAAGAUAAUGUAUAAAUUUUCUUUAUAUAUGAAGACAAAAAUUUCAAUUAGGUUAAAUAUUUUCGAUAAAGAAGACUUCGACCUUAAAAUCAAAUAACUAACCAAAUAGCAAAAACACUUCAUUAAACUUAAAAUCAAAUUUAAAGUGCUUAAUAUACACAAAACUAAACACAUAUAUGUCAAAUUUAAUUGUAAAACUAAAUUUUCAUCAUUUAAAAAUAUUUAUUAAUACAUGAUUUCAAUUUUUAUCAUUUCAAAAUAUUUUUUAUAAAAUUUAUUAAUUACUUUUAAGAUCUAAUACAUGAUAAAACUUUCCAUGGAAGACUUCUGGAAGACUUUUGGAAAGCUUUAAUUUAGGCGGAAAACCUAAAUUUUUUUAAAAUUUAGACGGAAACCCUAAAUUCUACCAAAAUAUAGGCGGGAUAUUUCAGAAGACUUCUUCGGAAGUCUACUCUGGUCUUCCAUACCCUGUUAUCAAAUAACUAAGCAAAAAAUACUUCCUUAAUUUUGAAAGAUACUUAGAAAGUAUUUAAAUCAAGUUAUUAGAUAGACACUAAAAUAUAUAUGUAAAAAAAAAAAAGAUUUCAAAAUCUAACCCUAAAAAUACCAACAAUAUUAUAAUAUAUGUUACCAAACCCUAAACCAAAGACUAUCAUGACUCAAUCUACAUUCACUCAUCUAUGUUAAAAAUAAUUUAAUUUUAGUAAAUUAAAUUUCUAUCAUUUAUAAAUGUUUACUAAUACAUGAUUUCAAUUUUUUCCCUUUGACAUUUUUUUUUAAGUUUUUUAAUUACUUUACGAUCUAAUACAUGAGAAAACUUUUUUUGGAAAACUUUUGGAAGACUUUGAUUUAUUUGGAAAACCUAAAUUUUUCUAAAAUUUAGGCUGGAUAUGUCAGAAAGUUUCUUGAGAAGUCUUAUGUGAGUCUUUCAGACCUUAUAAUCAAAUAAUUAUGCACGAAAAUACUUCUUUAAAUUAAAAGAUACUAAGAAAGUGUUUAAACCAAGUUAUUAGAUAGUCACUAAACAUAUAUAGUAAAAUUAAAAAAAAAAGAUAAGAUUUCAAAACCUAACCCUAAAAAUACCAACAAUACUAUAUCAUAUGUUAUCAAACCCUAAAUAAAUGACUAUCAUGACUCAAUCUAUAUUCAUUCAUCUAUGUUGAAACUAAUUCAAUUUUAGUAAAACUAAAUUUACAUCAUUUAGAAAUGUUUAUUAUUACAUGAUUUCAAUUUUUUUCUAUCAAAAUAUUUUUUAUAAAAAUUUUAAAUUAUUUUAAGUUUUCUCACGUGGAGGAUUAUAAUGGUAAAACUUAAUACUAGUUUAUUGUUUGGUCAUAAUGAGAUUGUCGUUAUUUCACUUGUUUUUUUGGUUACUUUUACAUUUGAUUGAAUUUGGGGUACACUUUUUUAUUCAAAAUCAUGUUAUGAGUCAUUUUUGGUAAUUUUUUCUAAAAUUUUAACAUAUUCAUCAAAACAUUCUAUAAAGCAAACCGGAAGAUGUAUAAGGUCGACUGAAAUAAAUUAACCUCAAAAUCAUACUCCUCUUUAUUGUUUUGAAAAUAAUAUUUUGAUUUUUUCUUAUUAAAAAAAAUUGAUUUAGGGGUUCGAAUUCACUUUUACUAAUUAAUGUUAAUAAUCUGUGAUUUAAAAAAAAUAUUAAUGAGGACAUUUGAAGCCUUAAAUUGCUAUCGGUUUAAUAGUUGUCGGGACAUGUUUAAUGUUAACAAUUACCAAUACUAAAUUUUACAUAAGCAUUAACUUUGUGUGUGUGAAAAGUCUAAUUCAUUUUUUUAAAGCAGAAGAAAUACUCCCUCCAUUUUUUAAUAUAAGUCAUUUUAAAAUUGUGCACAUAGAUUAAAAAAAUUAUUAAUUUCUUACAUUUUCUAAACAAAAACAUCAUUAAUUAUUUACCUAACUACAAAUCAACCAAUAAUAAAAUAGUAGGUAUAUUAUCAUUUAUCAUAUAACAUUAACUGUUAAUAAAUUUUACAUAGAAAACCGAAAAUGUCAUAUAAUUUGAAACAUAAAAAUUUCUCCAAAACAACUUAUAUUAAAUGGGAUUCAAUUCUAAAAGCAACAUAAUCCAUGAAUGGAUAGAUGGAGUAGUAUUCAAUAAAUGGAUAAAUGGGAUUGAAUUCUAAAAGCAACAUUACCAAUGAGAACUCCAAAGAGUGUCUUAACCAAAAGCUUCAUAUAACAUUUUUAACGAGUUAAAAUUAAAUAAUUAAAAGUUAAUUAUAAAAUAAAAAUUCAAUCAAUUUAUAGUUUUCAGGUGUUAUAUGAAGCUUUAGUGGGUUUCUAAAAAAUCUAAAUGAAAACUCUUCUUUAUUCUCUGUCUUCUCUUUUAAUUAUUGUUUCUAUUAUUCUAAAUGAAAACUCUUCUUUACUCUCUCUGACUUGCAUGAAAACCCUUUGAUAGACUUGUCUCUUUCAUCCUAUUACUUCUGCCAUACUUAUUCUUCCAUUUAAAUUUUAGUUUUCUUUUUGAUCAAAAAAAGAGUUGUUUUCUUUCUAUCUCUCUUUUAGGCUCCUUUACAGCUUAGUUGUUUUAAAUAACAAACUUAAAAAAAAAAUAACUUUUCUUUAUUAAAAAGAAAUUGUUGGUGGCUUUUAUCAAACCAUGGACACAAUACUUCAUAACUAUGUUUUGAGCCAUCAGGUUUUAAUAGACGUGGAACCUUCUUUUAAUGGAGACUAGAUUUUUUUGUUGUUGCUUAAGCUGCACUUUGAAUUAGCCAACUCUAGAUUACAUAUUAUAUGCAUUUUUCAGUUUCAGUGGGCUCCAUCAACUAGUUUUUCUGUAGGACCUAGCCCAUUAUCUAACCAUAAAAUUACAUAUGUACACAAGAAAGGCUUCUCUUAUUGCAAAUAGCUCAUUAACCGAGGUCUGAAAGAUUGAACCCAACAAUGCGAAAA
Molecule: long non-coding RNA, 10425 nt
Organism: Brassica rapa (field mustard)
Lineage: Eukaryota; Viridiplantae; Streptophyta; Magnoliopsida; Brassicales; Brassicaceae
Source: RefSeq, a predicted model, not a curated record